This 254-nucleotide ribosomal RNA is filed under the name uncultured bacterium. RNAcentral describes it as "partial 16S ribosomal RNA". It matches the Rfam family "Bacterial small subunit ribosomal RNA", at positions 524 to 776 of the family's 1533-position model. The record is from RNAcentral.
UACGGGGGGAGCAAGCGUUGUUCGGAUUUACUGGGCGUAAAGGGCGCGUAGGCGGCGUAACAAGUCACUUGUGAAAUCUCCGGGCUUAACCCGGAGCGGCCAAGUGAUACUGUCGGGCUAGAGUGCGGAAGAGGCGAGUGGAAUUCCUGGUGUAGCGGUGAAAUGCGCAGAUAUCAGGAGGAACACCGAUUGCGAAGGCAGCUCGCUGGGACGUAACUGACGCUGAGACGCGAAAAGCGUGGGGAGCAAACAGG